AGUGCGGCGCGCUGCAGACUUCCAUGGCAGUUAGCGGGGAUUUAAUUAAGCCGGGAGCUAUAAAUCCCUGAGCCACUGGGGGGAGAUUGUAAACGCGCGCUCAGGGAGCUGAAUAAAUGACGGAAGGGAGAAAUUCGGCUUCUCGAAGAAAGCAGAAAAUGUCUUAACUCAUGCUUCUCCCGAUCUCCAUGAUCAGAUAUCUUCUAGGCUCUACUUCUUAAAGGUUCUGUUACCUCACCAUCGCCAUAUUGGGGGUUGAACUUCCAACACUUGAACCUGCUCAGUGUAUCCAACACAUGACGUCAGUAGCAUCUAGUAAUGACAAGCCCUCAUCACUGCUGGGCGAUGGACUGCUCCUCCAUUCUGGAAGCCCUUCCCACUGGCCUCUAUGGAGACAUACUCUCUGGCUUUCCUCUUACCUCCUCAGUGGUUGUACGGCUUGUCCUAGCUUCUCUCUCUCCAAUCACUACAAGUUGGAUUGCCGAAAAGAUCUACGUUGAGCCCUCCUCUUCUGUCCUACCGAGAUCAUCUCAUCUAGUUUCAUAGCUGCAGAUACAAUCAUUAUACCAAGAACUAAUUUUUAUCAUUAGCUCUGGCUCUUCACCUGAGUACCAAACAUUUAUAUGUCACCACCCACUUGAGUCUCAAUGAUUCUCUAACUACUAACAAGUUAAUCUCCCAAAAUUUCAUAAAUAAACAUUGUUCAAACCCA
Molecule: long non-coding RNA, 712 nt
Filed under: Mus musculus (house mouse)
Lineage: Eukaryota; Metazoa; Chordata; Mammalia; Rodentia; Muridae
Description: ilncRNA-EC5
Source: RNAcentral